Small nuclear RNA from Pteronotus mesoamericanus, 107 nucleotides. NCBI's taxonomy places the organism in Eukaryota, Metazoa, Chordata, Mammalia, Chiroptera, Mormoopidae. The record is from RefSeq and is a predicted model, not a curated record.
AUGCUCAUUUUCACAGUACAUAUACUAAAAUUGGAAUGAUACAGAGAAGAUGAAUAUGGCCUCUGAGCAAGGAUGACAUGCAAAUUUGUGAAGCAUUAAAAAAAAAU